RNAcentral lists this ribosomal RNA (854 nucleotides) under uncultured archaeon. RNAcentral's name for it is "bacterial SSU rRNA". It matches the Rfam family "Archaeal small subunit ribosomal RNA", at positions 39 to 899 of the family's 1478-position model. The record is from RNAcentral.
UGAUACUAAGCCAUGCGAGUCAUUGUAGUAAUACAGGGCAGACGGCUCAGUAACGCGUAGUCAACCUAACCUAUGGACGGGGAUAACCUCGGGAAACUGAGAAUAAUACCCGAUAGAACAUUAUGCCUGGAAUGGUUUAUGUUUCAAAUAAUUUAUUGCCGUAGGAUGGGACUGCGGCCUAUCAGUUUGUUGGUGAGGUAAUGGCCCACCAAGACUAUUACAGGUACGGGCUCUGAGAGGAGUAGCCCGGAGAUGGGUACUGAGACACGGACCCAGGCCCUAUGGGGCGCAGCAGGCGAGAGAACUUUGCAAUGUGCGAAAGCACGACAAGGUUAAUCCGAGUGGUUUCUGCUAAAGGAACCUUUUGCCAGUCCUAGAAACACUGGUGAAUAAGGGGUGGGCAAGUUCUGGUGUCAGCCGCCGCGGUAAAACCAGCACCUCAAGUGGUCAGGAUGAUUAUUGGGCCUAAAGCAUCCGUAGCCUGCUUUGUUAGUUUUCGGUUAAAUCCAUUCGCUCAACGAAUGGGCUGCCGGGAAUACUGCAAAGCUAGGGAGUGGGAGAGGUAGACGGUACUCGGUAGGAAGGGGUAAAAUCCUUUGAUCUAUUGAUGACCACCUGUGGCGAAGGCGGUCUACCAGAACACGUCCGACGGUGAGGGAUGAAAGCUGGGGGAGCAAACCGGAUUAGAUACCCGGGUAGUCCCAGCUGUAAACUAUGCAAACUCAGUGAUGCAUUGGCUUGAUGCCAAUGCAGUGCUGCAGGGAAGCCGUUAAGUUUGCCGCCUGGGAAGUACGUACGCAAGUAUGAAACUUAAAGGAAUUGGCGGGGGAGCACCACAAGGGGUGAAGCCUGCG